This 253-nucleotide ribosomal RNA is filed under the name uncultured bacterium. RNAcentral's name for it is "partial 16S ribosomal RNA". It matches the Rfam family "Bacterial small subunit ribosomal RNA", at positions 524 to 776 of the family's 1533-position model. The record is from RNAcentral.
UACAGAGGGUGCAAGCGUUAAUCGGAAUUACUGGGCGUAAAGCGUGCGUAGACGGUUGCGUAAGUCAGAUGUGAAAGCCCCGGGCUCAACCUGGGAAUUGCAUUUGAGACUGCGUAGCUAGGGUGCGGAAGAGGGAAGCGGAAUUUCCGGUGUAGCGGUGAAAUGCGUAGAUAUCGGAAGGAACACCAGUGGCGAAAGCGGCUUCCUGGUCCAGCACCGACGUGCAGGCACGAAAGCGUGGGGAGCAAACAGG